Molecule: unclassified non-coding RNA, 253 nt
Filed under: uncultured Chlamydiales bacterium
Lineage: Bacteria; Pseudomonadati; Chlamydiota; Chlamydiia; Chlamydiales
Description: contains 16S-23S intergenic spacer region
Rfam family: Bacterial small subunit ribosomal RNA
Source: RNAcentral
UACGGAGGGUGCAAGCAUUAAUCGGAUUUACUGGGCGUAAAGGGCGUGUAGGCGGAAAGAUAAGUCAGAUGUGAAAUUUCGGUACUCAAUACCGAAGCUGCAUUUGAAACUAUCUAUCUUGAGGAUGAACGGAGAAAACGGAAUUCCACGUGUAGCGGUGAAAUGCGUAGAUAUGUGGAAGAACACCUGUGGCGAAAGCGGUUUUCUAGUUUAUACCUGACGCUGAGGCGCGAGAGCAAGGGGAGCAAACAGG